GCACCAUGUUCAUCGCUUUUUCUAUGUACAAAAACCAGAUCGAGGAAAUAGCAGUAGUAGUAGCCACUAUAAAAGGAGAGAGAGAGAGAGUGAGAGAGAGCGCGUAGAUUACUAGAUUGUAGUGUCACUCACCAAGUCUAAUAGAGAAUAGUGCACAACAGUGGAGUGAAGUGACUGGCACAUAGAGAGACUUAAAAGAAGUAAGGGGAACCCCACUUUUCCAUUCUGACUUUCCUGUUUUUUACCCUUUAUUCACUGUACUUACACAGUACAUUUUAUGUCGGUUUGUGUGUGUGUGAGAGAGUGAGAUAAGGGUCUUAAUUUCUUUCAUCAGUUUCAGAAAAGAAAGAAAAAAAUGAGAAGAAGAAGAAGAAACAUGAAGGAAAAUCUCCCUUCUUACUAGUUCUGGUUUUUGUAUAUCUGGUUUGUGAGGUUGAGGAAAAUCUUAAAAUCCUCUCAGAAUUUUUUCCCUUGCUGGGAAAAGGAAAAGAAAAAGAUUAUCUUUGCUUGCCCUUUGUUUCAUUUUUUGUUUUUGGAAAUAGUGCUUUUACUGCUUUGCCAGAUUUGUGUGGAUGUGAGAUCUUCAAUCGUUUUCCCUUCUCUGACUCUCAUGAAGACAUUGACUACUCUUUGCUACUUCUUUAACACGGUUUCUCUUCCGUGAUUUCUGCUUCUGACUCUUUACUCUUUUUUGUUUUGUUUUUCUUUUCCAUUUUCUUUCGCUUGUUAUUUUUUUAGUUUAACUUAUAUGGAACUCCUUCGGUCUUCUAAGUCAUAUUUUUGUUUCCCCAUUCUCUGUCGUUUUGGACAGUGGUGGCUCUGAUAUUGUUCUUUGGUUGAAGACUUUUGAUUUUUAGGUUCGCUUCAAUGAAAGAACCGCUGAAGUAGUAAGUUCAAGAUGUAGCUAGUUUGAUUUUGAUUGUUGUUGUUGCAUUAUGUUACAUAGCAAAGUUGACUCUUUGGUUUUUUGCUCAUCAAUAUCACAUUACGGUACUACUCCUGUGUGAUUUGACCACUGAAAUUAUAUUGGAUUUUUGUCUUUGUUGGGGCAUGUUCGUGAAAUUAUAUGCUAGUGUUUGCGUUGUUCAUCUAUAUGUUGUGCAUGAUAAUCAAAGGGUUAGAAGAAAGGGCACAUUCUAUUUUUUAACGAAGGAAAAAUGUUUAUCAGAAUCGUACAUGCAUUUUCUCUAGUGGUGCCCUUUGAUAGCUUUAAGUCCUAGGGUUAGGGUUCUUGUAAAUAAUUGUUUUUCCAAUAUUUUAGAAACAAAUUUCACUGAAGUUGUUAUAUAAUGUCGUUUAAUUUCUGCCAGUAUUAGUUACACAGCAUGCUAUGUAAAGAUAGUUGUAAAAUGUUGGCCCUUAAUUUAUCAACAUUGUUAAGAAUUUGACUGCUUAGCGGAAUAUGAUUCCUUCUUCCUGAAAAGUCAGGUUUAGUCUUACCUAGCUAUGAAGAAUAAGUGUCACAUGCCAGUGCUCUAAUUCAAUAUAUCUGUAUAAUGUUCGUCUUUGUUUGCCAGUGGUAAUAUGAAUUGGAUCAGGCCCCUCAAUCUUGCGUCAUUGUUAAUGAUUUCAUUUAGUGCCUACAGGGAGUACUAAUUGUUGUUGUUCUUAUAAUUUCCUUUUGUUGGUAUGAAUUCCAUAAAUUUACCUUCUUGAAUAGACUAUGAAAUCAGCUAUAUACGUUUAAUAUUUUUUUUGUUUGCAGCAUUUUCGCUUGGUUUUUGACUUAAUUAAUUGCAUGUGGUGUUCAUGAAUGAAAUGCUUAGAGUAAAGAUUCUCCUGUCCUUUUAAAUCCAAAAUUAUUAUGACUUGUGACAAUUCUUGCUAUACUAUCCAAUUUCCCUUUCAAUAUGAGGAAUAGUUUAAGAGAGCUUCCUUCAGUCCACUCAUGGAUGGAUAGAGGGUUUGAAUUAGCUGCUGACUCAUUCAUUCAAACACAAUAGAACGGGUGUCAUGGUAUGCUAUUGUGAAUGCCUGAAUGAUGCAGGAGGUAAAGUUCAUCCUUUUCUUGUCUGUGCUUGGACUGAAGGGAGCUCCCUUUUACUGUUUUUAUCAUUAUUUUUAUAUGAUAGUUUUCCCAAUUUUGUUUUUAUCAUUAUUUUUAUAUGAUAGUUUUCCCAAUUUUAUUAUGUUUACCUUUUAAUUCUUCCCCGUUUUUACAUCUAUAGUGUACUGGAUGUUUUACUUAAUGUCCCCCUUUCCAUUUCAAUAAAUUCUUUUGUGUGCAUUCCAUCAAAUGAUGCUUAAUCCAUCACUGCUCUGAACCUAAUGUUUUAAUCAUUUCAUUUCCAUGUAAUAAUUAAUCUUAAUUUUAGUUGCAAAUCAUUGUUAAACAGCAUAUUUUGUUAUUCUAUUGUUAAUUUUCAUCUUCUUAUAACACAUUCUUAAAUUAUAGUUACAAAUUCUUGUUAAAUUUAUUCUGCUAUUCAAUUUUCCCCGAUUUAGUUCUUGCAUUGGAAGAACUCAUUAUUCAGGGCGUUUCCUUUUAUAUUCAUGGGAUAGUAUUGGCUAACUUAAAAGGAAAACAAAAUCUUUUAUACUAUACAUAUUUUUAUUUUAUUUUCAUAAUUUUUAAGAAAACUGUUUGUUGAUUUAUAAUAUUUUUCAAAGCCUUACUAGUAACUCUUAAUUGAUUUUUGAUGUUUUUCUUUGCGUUUGGCUUCCUCAAAAUUUAUUUCUUUCUUUAGCCCCCUCAAGCAAAAAUGGCUUGCUCCACCCUGUUAUGGUUAAUUCAAAAGUCUAGUAUGUGUUGGAUUUCCAUAAAAUUUGUGGGACCAAUUUAUAUGUAAGUGUGGUAAUUAAGAAACAACUGGUAAGGUUUGUAUUUUUUGUCAAUUUGUCACCUUGAAUUUUGGCAGUUUUUUCUCCCUUGGAUUUUGGUUGUCAAAUUUUAUGGAUAUAUAUACGGAAAGCUGUUUUCGGUAACUUCAGUUAACAGCAUACAUACAAGUUGGUACUAGGAAAAUUCAAUUUCCAGAUUUUUUUUCGCCAUGUUAAUGGCACCAAUAUCGUUUUUCACCACGUACCUUUUAAAUUUUCCCCUGAUCAUACCUCCGUUAUUAAAAUACUACUAGUUCACACGGUGUAAGCAAAAAAAAAAAAAAAAGUGGGUGUGCAUUUGUAUCAAUUUGUGAAAUUUUCGUUCAGGAAAAUAUGUUUGUUUACUCAAAAUGUAGCAGUCGCAGCUGACAAUAUGAUUAGUUUCAUUUUGGGAAAAAAAUAUUAAAUAGAAAAAUGAAAUGUACAAACAGACAUUACAUUAAUAUUUCUGAUAGAAAAUCCUCUGACAUGGUAUAUGAAUGAAUUGCUGAAAUUUAUGGUCACUCAUUUCGUCAUGUAUGGUUUAUGUUUGAAAAAUGUUUUGCAUCGAUUUUACUGUAUAGGGGGUGGAAAUGGAAUUAUGUUAUUAGCCUGUUUUCCCCCGGUGUAAGCUAUUGUGGUACUAACCAUACUUUCAUAUGAUUUGCCACGCAUAAUAUUCUGUAUUUUUUUUACAAUGUUCUCGUUGAGCUUUGAAUUUAAGACCUAAUGCAUAUUACUCUAAACUUUCACUACUAGGUCGAUGCCAGUGGUCACAAGAUUCUGUAUUAUGUGUAGUGUUUUUAGUAGUUCAGAUUUUGUACAUCCACAUUAUAUUGUCAUUAUCGUAAAUGGUAAUGUGGGCCCAAUGUUGUUGCAUAAUUUUUAAAAGUACAAUUUACAUGCAUGGGCAGUCUAUAUUUUAGUAUAUGCAAAUUGAUCCCUUACCCAAGUAUAUUAUAAUUUAAUAUAAGGUAUGCAUGUAUAUUGAGAUCAAUUAUUUAUGAAACAAAUUCCUAUGAUAAUUUUUUUUUUUGUUAAUUGUUAGUUUUUGCUCAUGUGAUUUAUUAAUGUAACUUAUUAUUUUUUUUUUAUGAAUUUAAGUUUUGUAUGUUAAGUUAAAAUAUUAUAUAUUGUCAAAUAAUACGACAUCAUUGUCUGUAUGAUUUUAAAAGUAAUUAUUUUUAAGUUAAUAAGUUUAUUAUAUAUGAUUAUUUGAAAUUAGAUAGUGAUGUUAUUUUUUUCCCUAGUAGGGCAUACACUAGUUACACACUAAGAUUUUAUUAAAAAGAUACAACAAUUUGUAUAGUGUUAUUUUUUCGUUUUUUAUUAUAUCAUUUAUUAAGUCUUCAAAUUUUCUCUCUUUACUUUUUCUAGUUGUAUGAAAUUAUAAAUUAUAAAUGCAUUGUUCUACAUUUGUUGUAGAAGGAUUAUUUCUCUUUAAACAACUUUUCAUAAACAUUUUCAAAUGCGCAUCAUUGAUGUUGAUGGAAUACAGCACAAAGGGUUUUGGGACACUGAGGUAUUCAUUAUUUGAUUCAUUGAUAUUCAUAUUUGGUGGCUAGCUGGCUCUAAACUCUGUCAUAGAUGCCUCAGAAAAUAUACUACCUACACUGCAUUGAUUGCAGUGUAGUGUGUGUUGGAUCACUUUAUUCCAAAACACACUAACAAAAGCAAACCUUGGUCAGUUUAAACACAAACGUUGCGUUCUGAGUUGGAUAUACUGGAGGAGCUCAAAUACCAGCAUAUAGGGUCAUAUUACCGGUGAUUGGAACACAUGUCAUUGUGUUGUGUCAAUAUCAGAGCCUGAAGAAUUUAAAUAUUAGACGUGCAAUUGGCGUCAGAAACGCUGCAUUCUUGUCCAUUACUCUGCUGGGGCCUAGCCAGAGGUUGGAACUUGGAGCUAUAUUGUUCUACUAAUUUGUUGAUAAUUAUUAGAGCUAUUCAUUAUAUUUUUUGCCUAUUCCUUCCAAAAUAUCAUAAAAAUGGGGGUAUACUCUUGUUUACUCACAAAAAACUUGUAUAUUUUGUCUUUAAUUUUAUAAAAUAUUUUAGUCUUUUCUAA
Molecule: long non-coding RNA, 4864 nt
Organism: Glycine soja
Lineage: Eukaryota; Viridiplantae; Streptophyta; Magnoliopsida; Fabales; Fabaceae
Exons: 2
Source: RefSeq, a predicted model, not a curated record